UACGUAGGUGGCAAGCGUUAUCCGGAUUUAUUGGGCGUAAAGAGAACGUAGGCGGUCUUUUAAGUCUGAUGUGAAAGCCUUCGGCUUAACCGGAGUAGUGCAUUGGAAACUGGGAGACUUGAGUGCAGAAGAGGAGAGUGGAACUCCAUGUGUAGCGGUGAAAUGCGUAGAUAUAUGGAAGAACACCAGUGGCGAAAGCGGCUCUCUGGUCUGUAACUGACGCUGAGGUUCGAAAGCGUGGGUAGCAAACAGG
RNAcentral lists this ribosomal RNA (253 nucleotides) under uncultured bacterium. RNAcentral describes it as "partial 16S ribosomal RNA". It matches the Rfam family "Bacterial small subunit ribosomal RNA", at positions 524 to 776 of the family's 1533-position model. The record is from RNAcentral.